UUAAAGGGCUGCAGUAUAUUGACUGUACAAAGGUAGCAUAAUCAUUAGUCAUUUAAUUGAUGACUUGUAUGAAGGAUUGGAUGAAAUAUAAACUGUCUCUUAAUUAUAUUUAGAAUUUAAUUUUUUAAUUAAAAAGUUAAAAUAAAUUAGAAAGACGAGAAGACCCUAUAGAGUUUUAUAGAUAAAAUUAAUUGAGAUUAUUUGUAAAUAUUAAAUUAAGAUUAAUUUAUUUAUUUUGUUGGGGUGACAGAAAAAUAUGAAAAACUUUUUAUAUGUUUAAAACAUUAAUAAGUGGUUAAAUGAUCCAGUAUUAUUGAUUAUAAGAAAAAAUUACCUUAGGGAUAACAGCGUAAUUUUUUUUUUUAGUUCACAUAAAAAAAAAAGUUUGCGACCUCGAUGUUGGAUUAAGAUAAAAUUUAAAUGCAGAAG
Molecule: ribosomal RNA, 429 nt
Filed under: Sesamia congoensis
Lineage: Eukaryota; Metazoa; Arthropoda; Insecta; Lepidoptera; Noctuidae
Description: partial 16S ribosomal RNA
Source: RNAcentral